Non-coding RNA from Peromyscus maniculatus bairdii (prairie deer mouse), 457 nucleotides. The record is from RefSeq and is a predicted model, not a curated record. Lineage: Eukaryota; Metazoa; Chordata; Mammalia; Rodentia; Cricetidae.
CCCGAAUCUUCUCUCCAGACCUUCAGGGACUGACGUUGUCCUCGUAAGGAAUGUCUGCACUGACAGGCACUAGCCUUAUCGUGCUGUACAGAGGAGUCUCGCCAUCCAGCAGCAGUCUGAGGAAAUGGAGCCUGGAGAAGUCCCGCGAAUUCAUACAGCCUUGUGUGCGCCGAGUGUGUGGCUGCUGCCGUGGCCCCAUUCUGAGUGGAUAUCAUGGACUGCAUGGCGGCUAACCCUGGAGAGCACCGACUCUAAAGGCAAAGACUUGGACAUACAAGAUGGUGGACACCGGGGACUCAGCCGCAGGAGGGGAGACACUUCUUUUGUGUGAGUGAAUGAAGGACAUCAUUUGUAGCUAUUUAUAUCGUCAGUGGUUAGAAAUGGAAGGGAUUACUACAGGAUGGAUUCAUUUUAUUUUUCCUGUAAAAUAGAGGUGACGGCUACUUGCUGAAAAUGA